GACGAACGCUGGCGGCGUGCUUAACACAUGCAAGUCGAACGGAAAGGCCCUGCUUUUGUGGGGUGCUCGAGUGGCGAACGGGUGAGUAACACGUGAGUAACCUGCCCUUGACUUUGGGAUAACUUCAGGAAACUGGGGCUAAUACCGGAUAGGAGCUCCUGCUGCAUGGUGGGGGUUGGAAAGUUUCGGCGGUUGGGGAUGGACUCGCGGCUUAUCAGCUUGUUGGUGGGGUAGUGGCUUACCAAGGCUUUGACGGGUAGCCGGCCUGAGAGGGUGACCGGCCACAUUGGGACUGAGAUACGGCCCAGACUCAUACGGGAGGCAGCAGUGGGGAAUAGUGCAAGAUGGGCGGAAGCCUGAUGCAGCAACGCCGCGUGCGGGAUGACGGCCUUCGGGGUGUAAACCGCUUUCGCCUGUGACGAAGCGUGAGUGACGGUAAUGGGUAAAGAAGCACCGGCUAACUACGUG
Molecule: ribosomal RNA, 468 nt
Filed under: uncultured bacterium
Lineage: Bacteria
Description: partial 16S ribosomal RNA
Rfam family: Bacterial small subunit ribosomal RNA
Source: RNAcentral